GUUCUUCUUAUCUUUGAAAGUGCUAGCAGAUUUUAUAGCGAUUUUGUCGAAGUUGCUCAGAUAAAGGUCAAACAAAUCGUUGUAGAAAUUGCGAGCACUUCAAAGAGAAGAAGAAC
Molecule: microRNA precursor, 116 nt
Filed under: Picea abies (Norway spruce)
Lineage: Eukaryota; Viridiplantae; Streptophyta; Pinopsida; Pinales; Pinaceae
Description: miR11529b stem-loop (pab-MIR11529b)
Source: miRBase by way of RNAcentral